This 346-nucleotide ribosomal RNA is filed under the name uncultured bacterium. RNAcentral describes it as "partial 16S ribosomal RNA". It matches the Rfam family "Bacterial small subunit ribosomal RNA", at positions 338 to 681 of the family's 1533-position model. The record is from RNAcentral.
CCUACGGUGGGCUGGAGUGAGGAAUAUUGGUCAAUGGGCGCGAGCCUGAACCAGCCAAGUAGCGUGAAGGAUGACUGCCCUACGGGUUGUAAACUUCUUUUAUAAAGGAAUAAAGUGAGGCACGUGUGCCUUUUUGUAUGUACUUUAUGAAUAAGGAUCGGCUAACUCCGUGCCAGCAGCCGCGGUAAUACGGAGGAUCCGAGCGUUAUCCGGAUUUAUUGGGUUUAAAGGGAGCGUAGAUGGGUUGUUAAGGCCGUGGUGAAAGUUUGCGGCUCAACCGUAAAAUUGCGAUUGUUACGGUCAGCCUUGAGUACAGUUGAGGUAGGCGGAAUUCGUGGUGUAGCGG